AUUCUACAGAUCUGCCAUACAACAUUGUGCUUAUGGUUAACAGUGUUACAGUGUGCACUUAAAUAUUUAUUAACAGGGUAGAUCUAUAGUUAAGUGUUCUUACCACAAUAAAAAAAGACUAAUGUAUUAAAAAGAAUUGUUAGUUUAUGUUUUUGUAUAUAUUAUGCAUAAAGAUGUAAUUCUUUGACACCAACAACUGAAAAAGGUGGGGACUGAGCUGUAAAGGAGCAGAGUUUUUGUGUGUUAUUGAAGUUAAGCUGUAUAAAUUCAAAUCAGAGUAUUAUAACUUUAGAAUGUUAAAUGUAAUCUCCAUGGUAACCACAGAGAAAGUAGCUAUAGAAUAUUUACAAAAGGAAAUGAGUAAGAAAUGUAAAUGCUUCACUGUAAAAAAAAAACAGCAACUAAAUACAUAUGAAGAAAGUAAUGCAGGAAAUAAAGGACAAAAAGAAGCUAUAAGGAAAAUCAAGAAGAUUGUUUUAGGCAUCUUUGAACCAAGUGUGUGUUUUCAUUUGCAAACCAGCUGCAUUUGUGAAAGAAGUAAGCAACUCUUCAACAUGACUCUAUGCAGUCUUAUCUCAUAUUGUCACAACAAAGCAUAA
Molecule: long non-coding RNA, 599 nt
Filed under: Callithrix jacchus (white-tufted-ear marmoset)
Lineage: Eukaryota; Metazoa; Chordata; Mammalia; Primates; Cebidae
Description: lncRNA (ENSCJAG00000051788.2)
Source: RNAcentral